RNAcentral lists this ribosomal RNA (654 nucleotides) under uncultured Alphaproteobacteria bacterium. RNAcentral describes it as "bacterial SSU rRNA". It matches the Rfam family "Bacterial small subunit ribosomal RNA", at positions 50 to 750 of the family's 1533-position model. Lineage: Bacteria; Pseudomonadati; Pseudomonadota; Alphaproteobacteria. The record is from RNAcentral.
AACACAUGCAAGUCGAGCGGGCCCUUCGGGGUCAGCGGCGGACGGGUGAGUAACGCGUGGGAACGUGCCUUCUGGUUCGGAAUAACCCUGGGAAACUAGGGCUAAUACCGGAUACGCCCUUUUGGGGAAAGGUUUACUGCCGGAAGAUCGGCCCGCGUCUGAUUAGCUAGUUGGUGGGGUAACGGCCUACCAAGGCGACGAUCAGUAGCUGGUCUGAGAGGAUGAUCAGCCACACUGGGACUGAGACACGGCCCAGACUCCUACGGGAGGCAGCAGUGGGGAAUAUUGGACAAUGGGCGCAAGCCUGAUCCAGCCAUGCCGCGUGAGUGAUGAAGGCCUUAGGGUUGUAAAGCUCUUUUAUCCGGGACGAUAAUGACGGUACCGGAGGAAUAAGCCCCGGCUAACUUCGUGCCAGCAGCCGCGGUAAUACGAAGGGGGCUAGCGUUGCUCGGAAUCACUGGGCGUAAAGGGCGCGUAGGCGGCGUUUUAAGUCGGGGGUGAAAGCCUGUGGCUCAACCACAGAAUGGCCUUCGAUACUGGGACGCUUGAGUAUGGUAGAGGUUGGUGGAACUGCGAGUGUAGAGGUGAAAUUCGUAGAUAUUCGCAAGAACACCGGUGGGCGAAGCGGCCAACUGGACCAUUACUGACGCUGAG